Molecule: long non-coding RNA, 1712 nt
Organism: Marmota monax (woodchuck)
Lineage: Eukaryota; Metazoa; Chordata; Mammalia; Rodentia; Sciuridae
Exons: 2
Source: RefSeq, a predicted model, not a curated record
UGUCAUCUGAAUCCAGUGGUAGAAAAGAGGAUUUUUAUUUAUUUGUUUGUUUCAUUUUAAAUUGGAAAAAUAGUCUUUUGGUUGAGGAGCAAUAGGAAGAAGUCUGGAUUCAUGGAGGACACUCACUGGGAGAAAGACCUGCAGGCAGCUUCCAGCCAUGGAGAGAUAGCAAGAGAACACAGCAAUAAAUUACACCAGCAGCCAAUGGACUUGGAAAAUAAUCCUGACCUGGGUUGAAAUCCUUACUUUGACCAACAUCUUGGCUGCAGUCCAAGGAGACCCAAAGAAGAAAACCCACUUAUGCUGGACCUGGACUUGGGAACCAUGGACACAAUAAACUGGUGAUGUUUUAAGCCAGUAAUUUCUGGUAGUUACACAGGGCAUUCAGACUGAGAAAACUACUCAGUCAAAAACCCAUCAUUCCCCAUGGGACAAAGAAGGAUUAUUCAGAGCUCUGGAUGAUUAAACCAGAAACCAUAAAGAAGCAUUUCCAGGCAGUGGGUCUGGACCUAUUGUGUGGGCUGCACAAGCGUUUGAUGGGUUUUGAGGUGAUGCAGACCAGGGACAGCCAUGGUUUCCCCACUUCAACCCUUUCUUAUAAGAGACUCUGUGGUGGUUGCCCUAUUUCUGCCCCAUGGUUGUAAGUGGGCAAGGGAGGGGCAAGGAACCAGUCCCUUUUGUCCCCAGGUCUUCAAAUGAGGAAGAACCUUACCAAGAAACUUCAUCUGCAUCCAGAACUCACUCAGAUGACAAUGAGACUCUGGAGGCUUGGGAAGGUGAAUAUAAUUUUCAAGCAGGAAGAAUGUACAUGUUUUGUAGCCAAAGGUCUGACUCUGAUGGUUUCAAAGUUCAUCACCAUAUUUAACAUCCCUCUCAUUGAGAAAUGGUCUCUGUCCCAUCCUUGGGCCCUGGGUGGCCUGUGUGACUGCCCUGGUGUGGAAGCAAUGCUGACUGAUGUCUGAUGUUGGUUUGAGAAGGCUGAGGUUCUGCCAGCUUCGUUGGGCUUUCUCCAUUUUCAGCCCUGCAAAAAUCCCCUUCUCUGAGUUCACCAUGUGGAGAGGUCACAUAGGGAUACCAGAGAGAGAAAAAGACAUCAAGCUUCCAGUCACUCUGAUCCUUCUUAGUCCAGGAUGAGACUUGGGAGCAAAGAAGACUUUGAGAAUAUCUGGCCCCAGCCACUGUCUGAUACAACCACAGAGAGAGAAUAAAGACAGCCUCACUGCACCAUGUCAGGCCUCAUAUUCAUGAAAAACAUCAGCCAUCCCCUUUGCUUCAUGGCUUUGUUAAGAUAAAGGACUUCAACUGAUGUAUCCCUUCCUUAAGUACUUUCUCCCAAAACCAUACUUCUUUCCUGUGCUGGUUUUUUGCCCCCACAAAGUACAUCAUUAUGAGGUUUGUGGGGGGGUAGAAUUUUUUUGCAUCCUGGGGAAAACCAUAGCAAAUUUCAUAAGUUGAAAAAAAUAAAUAAGGCCUGAAACAAUUGUGCUUAUAUUGGCAUUCUAAAAAUUGAAAUAGUCUGAGAAAAGUCAUGUCAAAAGCAAGGGUACUUCUGUGCAUGUAAGAUAUUAAAACAAGCGACCACAAAAUCUGGUGCAAACUCUAAGCUUUGAUGAAUCCUAGGCAGUUAAGAAAUGCUCAAAAGUAGUAAAGGAGAAAACAUACGUAUUUGUGUUUUUCCUGGUAAUAAAGAUUAACUUGGUGUUUGGACCUCA